RNAcentral lists this ribosomal RNA (1103 nucleotides) under Brevibacterium sp. Its description in RNAcentral is "bacterial SSU rRNA". It matches the Rfam family "Bacterial small subunit ribosomal RNA", at positions 347 to 1459 of the family's 1533-position model. The record is from RNAcentral. Lineage: Bacteria; Bacillati; Actinomycetota; Actinomycetes; Micrococcales; Brevibacteriaceae.
GGCAGCAGUGGGGAAUUUUGCCCAAUGGGGGAAACCCUGAUGCAGUGACACCGUAUGGGGGACGACGGCCUUCGGGUUGUAAACCUUUUUCCAGUAGGGAAGAAGCGAAAGUGACGGUACCUGCAGAAGAAGUACCGGCUAACUACGUGCCAGCAGCCGCGGUAAUACGUAGGGUACUAGCGUUGUCCGGAAUUAUUGGGCGUAAAGAGCUCGUAGGUGGUUUGUCGCGUCUGCUGUGGAAACGUGCCGCUUAACGGUGCGCGUGCAGUGGGUACGGGCGGACUAGAGUGCAGUAGGGGAGUCUGGAAUUCCUGGUGUAGCGGUGAAAUGCGCAGAUAUCAGGAGGAACACCGGUGGCGAAGGCGGGACUCUGGGCUGUUACUGACGCUGAGGAGCGAAAGCAUGGGGAGCGAACAGGAUUAGAUACCCUGGUAGUCCAUGCCGUAAACGUUGGGCACUAGGUGUGGGGUCCAUUCCACGGAUUCUGCGCCGUAGCUAACGCAUUAAGUGCCCCGCCUGGGGAGUACGGCCGCAAGGCUAAAACUCAAAGGAAUUGACGGGGGCCCGCACAAGCGGCGGAGCAUGCGGAUUAAUUCGAUGCAACGCGAAGAACCUUACCAAGGCUUGACAUGCACUGGAUCGUUGCAGAGAUGUGGUUUUCUUUUUGACUGGUGUACAGGUGGUGCAUGGUUGUCGUCAGCUCGUGUCGUGAGAUGUUGGGUUAAGUCCCGCAACGAGCGCAACCCUCGUUCUAUGUUGCCAGCACGUGAUGGUGGGAACUCAUGGGAGACUGCCGGGGUCAACUCGGAGGAAGGUGGGGAUGACGUCAAAUCAUCAUGCCCUUUAUGUCUUGGGCUUCACGCAUGCUACAAUGGCCGGUACAGAGGGUGGCGAUACCGUGAGGUGGAGCGAAUCUCUUAAAGCCGGUCUCAGUUCGGAUCGUAGUCUGCAACUCGACUACGUGAAGUCGGAGUCGCUAGUAAUCGCAGAUCAGCAAUGCUGCGGUGAAUACGUUCCCGGGCCUUGUACACACCGCCCGUCAAGUCACGAAAGUCGGUAACACCCGAAGCCGGUGGCCUAACCCUUGUGGGCGGAGCCGUCGA